Molecule: ribosomal RNA, 465 nt
Filed under: uncultured bacterium
Lineage: Bacteria
Description: bacterial SSU rRNA
Rfam family: Bacterial small subunit ribosomal RNA
Source: RNAcentral
AUUGAACGCUGGCGGCAUGCCUUACACAUGCAAGUCGAACGGCAGCACGGGAGCUUGCUCCUGGUGGCGAGUGGCGAACGGGUGAGUAACAUAUCGGAACGUACCCCGUCGUGGGGGAUAACUCUCCGAAAGGAGUGCUAAUACCGCAUACGACCUGAGGGUGAAAGCGGGGGACCUGCAAGGGCCUCGCGCGAUGGGAGCGGCCGAUAUCGGAUUAGCUAGUUGGUGAGGUAAAGGCUCACCAAGGCGACGAUCCGUAGCGGGUCUGAGAGGACGACCCGCCACACUGGAACUGAGACACGGUCCAGACUCCUACGGGAGGCAGCAGUGGGGAAUAUUGGGCAAUGGGGGAAACCCUGACCCAGCGACGCCGCGUGGGUGAAGAAAUCCUUCGGGAUGUAAAGCCCUGUUGUAUGGGAAGAGCGGAAGACGGUACCAUACGAGGAAGCCCCGGCAAACUACGUG